This 253-nucleotide ribosomal RNA is filed under the name uncultured bacterium. RNAcentral describes it as "partial 16S ribosomal RNA". It matches the Rfam family "Bacterial small subunit ribosomal RNA", at positions 524 to 776 of the family's 1533-position model. The record is from RNAcentral.
UACGAAGGGGGCGAGCGUUGUUCGGAUUUACUGGGCGUAAAGGGCGCGUAGGCGGCGGGUCAAGUCAGGUGUGAAAGCCCCGGGCUCAACCCGGGAAGUGCACUUGAUACUGUUUGACUUGAGUACUGGAGAGGUUGGUGGAAUUCUCGGUGUAGAGGUGAAAUUCGUAGAUAUCGAGAGGAACACCGGUGGCGAAGGCGGCCAACUGGACAGAUACUGACGCUGAGACACGAAAGCGUGGGGAGCAAACAGG